CGUCGUCAUCUGAACUCUAUGUGGGCAGGGACGAACUUGAUGCACUCAUAGCAGGGUGACAAAAAACUAACCUAAGGAAUGACGUGGCCGAGCAAGCAAGGGACAGGGAAGAGAUCGACCGUAGCUUGGCUUCAACCGAGCAACCGAGUGAAGUCUCUAAGUGCCAGCAUUCCCCCCUCUGGAUAGUGGAAGCAGUGGAAAUGAAGUUACGGCGGUCCUUAUUCAUAAGGAGCUCGGAUGGCUUCGAUCUAUUGUCGAUUUACCUCCCUAUGUCGAUGUUCACCAAAUGGCAGCUUGUGAUUGGUCAGAAUAUGGCUCCCGCAGAUCCGACGAAUCAAUGGUCCAGAUUUGAAGAUGUUCCACCUCAAAUAAUCGAUCUUGGACACAUGUCAGCAGAAGGCAGUUCGACCAACUUAGCCUCGACGUUGGACUGAUACUCUCUUCAAUCGACCUAUCGUAAGAUCAGC
RNAcentral lists this long non-coding RNA (467 nucleotides) under Elaeis guineensis (African oil palm). RNAcentral's name for it is "long non-coding RNA (EGUI_LNC025825)". Lineage: Eukaryota; Viridiplantae; Streptophyta; Magnoliopsida; Arecales; Arecaceae. The record is from RNAcentral.